GAUGAACGCUGGCGGCGUGCCUAAUACAUGCAAGUCGAGCGAACGGACGAGAAGCUUGCUUCUCUGAUGUUAGCGGCGGACGGGUGAGUAACACGUGGAUAACCUACCUAUAAGACUGGGAUAACUUCGGGAAACCGGAGCUAAUACCGGAUAAUAUUUUGAACCGCAUGGUUCAAAAGUGAAAGACGGUCUUGCUGUCACUUAUAGAUGGAUCCGCGCUGCAUUAGCUAGUUGGUAAGGUAACGGCUUACCAAGGCAACGAUGCAUAGCCGACCUGAGAGGGUGAUCGGCCACACUGGAACUGAGACACGGUCCAGACUCCUACGGGAGGCAGUAGUAGGGAAUCUUCCGCAAUGGGCGAAAGCCUGACGGAGCAACGCCGCGUGAGUGAUGAAGGUCUUCGGAUCGUAAAACUCUGUUAUUAGGGAAGAACAUAUGUGUAAGUAACUGUGCACAUCUUGACGGUACCUAAUCAGAAAGCCACGGCUAACUACGUGCCAGCAGCCGCGGUAAUACGUAGGUGGCAAGCGUUAUCCGGAAUUAUUGGGCGUAAAGCGCGCGUAGGCGGUUUUUUAAGUCUGAUGUGAAAGCCCACGGCUCAACCGUGGAGGGUCAUUGGAAACUGGAAAACUUGAGUGCAGAAGAGGAAAGUGGAAUUCCAUGUGUAGCGGUGAAAUGCGCAGAGAUAUGGAGGAACACCAGUGGCGAAGGCGACUUUCUGGUCUGUAACUGACGCUGAUGUGCGAAAGCGUGGGGAUCAAACAGGAUUAGAUACCCUGGUAGUCCACGCCGUAAACGAUGAGUGCUAAGUGUUAGGGGGUUUCCGCCCCUUAGUGCUGCAGCUAACGCAUUAAGCACUCCGCCUGGGGAGUACGACCGCAAGGUUGAAACUCAAAGGAAUUGACGGGGACCCGCACAAGCGGUGGAGCAUGUGGUUUAAUUCGAAGCAACGCGAAGAACCUUACCAAAUCUUGACAUCCUUUGACAACUCUAGAGAUAGAGCCUUCCCCUUCGGGGGACAAAGUGACAGGUGGUGCAUGGUUGUCGUCAGCUCGUGUCGUGAGAUGUUGGGUUAAGUCCCGCAACGAGCGCAACCCUUAAGCUUAGUUGCCAUCAUUAAGUUGGGCACUCUAAGUUGACUGCCGGUGACAAACCGGAGGAAGGUGGGGAUGACGUCAAAUCAUCAUGCCCCUUAUGAUUUGGGCUACACACGUGCUACAAUGGACAAUACAAAGGGCAGCGAAACCGCGAGGUCAAGCAAAUCCCAUAAAGUUGUUCUCAGUUCGGAUUGUAGUCUGCAACUCGACUACAUGAAGCUGGAAUCGCUAGUAAUCGUAGAUCAGCAUGCUACGGUGAAUACGUUCCCGGGUCU
This 1372-nucleotide ribosomal RNA is filed under the name uncultured bacterium. RNAcentral's name for it is "bacterial SSU rRNA". It matches the Rfam family "Bacterial small subunit ribosomal RNA", at positions 28 to 1381 of the family's 1533-position model. The record is from RNAcentral.